CAGCAGCCACGGUAAUACGAAGGGGGCUAGCGUUGUUCGGAUUUACUGGGCGUAAAGCGUACGUAGGCGGUUUUGUAAGUUAGAGGUGAAGGCCCGGAGCUCAACUCCGGAAUUGCCUUUAAGACUGCAUCACUUGAACGUCGGAGAGGUGAGUGGAAUUCCGAGUGUAGAGGUGAAAUUCGUAGAUAUUCGGAAGAACACCAGUGGCGAAGGCGGCUCACUGGACGACUGUUGACGCUGAGGUACGAAAGCGUGGGGAGCAAACAGGAUUAGAUACCCGCGUAGUCCCUGUCUCUUAUAC
RNAcentral lists this ribosomal RNA (301 nucleotides) under uncultured bacterium. Its description in RNAcentral is "partial 16S ribosomal RNA". It matches the Rfam family "Bacterial small subunit ribosomal RNA", at positions 509 to 807 of the family's 1533-position model. The record is from RNAcentral.